This 402-nucleotide ribosomal RNA is filed under the name uncultured Gammaproteobacteria bacterium. RNAcentral describes it as "bacterial SSU rRNA". It matches the Rfam family "Bacterial small subunit ribosomal RNA", at positions 9 to 416 of the family's 1533-position model. Lineage: Bacteria; Pseudomonadati; Pseudomonadota; Gammaproteobacteria. The record is from RNAcentral.
GAGUUUGAUCCUGGCUCAGAUUGAACGCUGGCGGCAGGCCUAACACAUGCAAGUCGAGCGGCAGCGCGGGGCAACCUGGCGGCGAGCGGCGGACGGGUGAGUAACACGUAGGAAUCUACCCAGUAGCGGGGGAUAGCCCGGGGAAACUCGGAUUAAUACCGCAUACGCCCUAAGGGGGAAAGCAGGGGAUCUUCGGACCUUGCACUAUUGGCAGAGCCUGCGUUGGAUUAGCUAGUUGGUAGGGUAAAGGCCUACCAAGGCAACGAUCCAUAACUGGUCUGAGAGGAUGAUCAGUCACACCGGAACUGAGACACGGUCCGGACUCCUACGGGAGGCAGCAGUGGGGAAUAUUGGACAAUGGGGGCAACCCUGAUCCAGCCAUGCCGCGUGUGUGAGAAGGCC